This 397-nucleotide ribosomal RNA is filed under the name uncultured bacterium. RNAcentral describes it as "partial 16S ribosomal RNA". It matches the Rfam family "Bacterial small subunit ribosomal RNA", at positions 523 to 918 of the family's 1533-position model. The record is from RNAcentral.
AUACGUAGGGGGCGAGCGUUGUCCGGACUGAUUGGGCGUAAAGGGCGCGUAGGCGGCGCGGUAAGUCUGGAGUGAAAGUCCUGCUUUCAAGGUGGGAAUUGCUUUGGAUACUGCCGCGCUUGAGUGCAGGAGAGGUUAUCGGAAUUCCCGGUGUAGCGGUGAAAUGCGUAGAGAUCGGGAGGAACACCAGUGGCGAAGGCGGGUAACUGGACUGCUACUGACGCUGAGGCGCGAAAGUGUGGGGAGCAAACAGGAUUAGAUACCCUGGUAGUCCACACUGUAAACGAUGAAUGCUAGGUGUAAGAGGUAUCGACCCCUUUUGUGCCGGAGUCAACACAAUAAGCAUUCCGCCGGGGGAGUACGGCCGCAAGGUUGAAACUCAAGGUAAUUGACGGGU